GGGCGGCUAGCUCAGUUGGUUUAGAGCAUCUGCCUUACACGCAGAGGGUCAUAGGUUCGAGUCCUAUGCCGCCCA
RNAcentral lists this transfer RNA (75 nucleotides) under Candidatus Auribacterota bacterium. RNAcentral describes it as "tRNA-Val". It matches the Rfam family "tRNA". From Rfam's summary of the family: Transfer RNA (tRNA) molecules are approximately 80 nucleotides in length. Their secondary structure includes four short double-helical elements and three loops (D, anti-codon, and T loops). Lineage: Bacteria; Pseudomonadati; Candidatus Auribacterota. The record is from RNAcentral.